ACCGCGGUGGCCCAGCUGGUAGUGGCCUCGGCAGUACAGGUGCUGACGGUCACAGGUUUAAAUCCUGCCUGCGGUA
Molecule: non-coding RNA, 76 nt
Organism: Phthorimaea operculella (potato tuberworm)
Lineage: Eukaryota; Metazoa; Arthropoda; Insecta; Lepidoptera; Gelechiidae
Source: the annotation of a GenBank genome assembly